UGGGGAAUAUUGCACAAUGGGGGAAACCCUGAUGCAGCAACGCCGCGUGAGUGACGAAGGCCUUCGGGUUGUAAAACUCUGUCUUAGCUGACGAUAAUGACGGUAAGCUAGGAGGAAGCCACGGCUAACUACGUGCCAGCAGCCGCGGUAAUACGUAGGUGGCGAGCGUUGUCCGGAUUUACUGGGCGUAAAGGGAGCGUAGGCGGUUUUUUAAGUGGGGUGUGAAAUCCCUGGGCUUAACCCAGGAAUUGCAUUCCAAACUGGAUAACUAGAGUGCAGGAGAGGAAAGUGGAAUUCCAAGUGUAGCGGUGAAAUGCGUAGAGAUUUGGAGGAACACCAGUGGCGAAGGCGACUUUCUGGACUGUAACUGACGCUGAGGCUCGAGAGCGUGGGGAGCAAACA
RNAcentral lists this ribosomal RNA (402 nucleotides) under uncultured Caloramator sp. Its description in RNAcentral is "bacterial SSU rRNA". It matches the Rfam family "Bacterial small subunit ribosomal RNA", at positions 355 to 774 of the family's 1533-position model. Lineage: Bacteria; Bacillati; Bacillota; Clostridia; Eubacteriales; Clostridiaceae. The record is from RNAcentral.